Molecule: ribosomal RNA, 2985 nt
Filed under: Salmonella enterica subsp. enterica serovar Newport
Lineage: Bacteria; Pseudomonadati; Pseudomonadota; Gammaproteobacteria; Enterobacterales; Enterobacteriaceae
Description: bacterial LSU rRNA
Rfam family: Bacterial large subunit ribosomal RNA
Source: RNAcentral
UUAAGCGACUAAGCGUACACGGUGGAUGCCCUGGCAGUCAGAGGCGAUGAAGGGCGUGCUAAUCUGCGAUAAGCGCCGGUAAGGUGAUAUGAACCGUUAUAACCGGCGAUACCCGAAUGGGGAAACCCAGUGUGACUCGUCACACUAUCAUUAACUGAAUCCAUAGGUUAAUGAGGCGAACCGGGGGAACUGAAACAUCUAAGUACCCCGAGGAAAAGAAAUCAACCGAGAUUCCCCCAGUAGCGGCGAGCGAACGGGGAGGAGCCCAGAGCCUGAAUCAGCAUGUGUGUUAGUGGAAGCGUCUGGAAAGGCGCGCGAUACAGGGUGACAGCCCCGUACACAAAAGCGCAUGUGCUGUGAGCUCGAUGAGUAGGGCGGGACACGUGGUAUCCUGUCUGAAUAUGGGGGGACCAUCCUCCAAGGCUAAAUACUCCUGACUGACCGAUAGUGAACCAGUACCGUGAGGGAAAGGCGAAAAGAACCCCGGCGAGGGGAGUGAAAAAGAACCUGAAACCGUGUACGUACAAGCAGUGGGAGCACAGGUUUACCUGUGUGACUGCGUACCUUUUGUAUAAUGGGUCAGCGACUUAUAUUCUGUAGCAAGGUUAACCGAAUAGGGGAGCCGGAGGGAAACCGAGUCUUAAUUGGGCGUUAAGUUGCAGGGUAUAGACCCGAAACCCGGUGAUCUAGCCAUGGGCAGGUUGAAGGUUGGGUAACACUAACUGGAGGACCGAACCGACUAAUGUUGAAAAAUUAGCGGAUGACCUGUGGCUGGGGGUGAAAGGCCAAUCAAACCGGGAGAUAGCUGGUUCUCCCCGAAAGCUAUUUAGGUAGCGCCUCGUGAAUUCAUCUCCGGGGGUAGAGCACUGUUUCGGCUAGGGGGCCAUCCCGGCUUACCAACCCGAUGCAAACUGCGAAUACCGGAGAAUGUUAUCACGGGAGACACACGGCGGGUGCUAACGUCCGUCGUGAAGAGGGAAACAACCCAGACCGCCAGCUAAGGUCCCAAAGUCAUGGUUAAGUGGGAAACGAUGUGGGAAGGCCCAGACAGCCAGGAUGUUGGCUUAGAAGCAGCCAUCAUUUAAAGAAAGCGUAAUAGCUCACUGGUCGAGUCGGCCUGCGCGGAAGAUGUAACGGGGCUAAACCAUGCACCGAAGCUGCGGCAGCGAACGUAUCACUUAAAGCGAUUCAGCGGGUUACGAUUGACGGAGCGAAGCGACGUCAAAGCGUAUACAAAGUCGAGUCGGUUUAAGGAUACGUUCGUUGGGUAGGGGAGCGUUCUGUAAGCCUGUGAAGGUGGCCUGUGAGGGUUGCUGGAGGUAUCAGAAGUGCGAAUGCUGACAUAAGUAACGAUAAAGCGGGUGAAAAGCCCGCUCGCCGGAAGACCAAGGGUUCCUGUCCAACGUUAAUCGGGGCAGGGUGAGUCGACCCCUAAGGCGAGGCCGAAAGGCGUAGUCGAUGGGAAACGGGUUAAUAUUCCCGUACUUGGUGUUACUGCGAAGGGGGGACGGAGAAGGCUAUGUUGGCCGGGCGACGGUUGUCCCGGUUUAAGCGUGUAGGUGUGUGUUCCAGGUAAAUCCGGUUCACUUUAACACUGAGGCGUGACGACGAGGCACUACGGUGCUGAAGCAACAAAUGCCCUGCUUCCAGGAAAAGCCUCUAAGCAUCAGGUAACAUCAAAUCGUACCCCAAACCGACACAGGUGGUCAGGUAGAGAAUACCAAGGCGCUUGAGAGAACUCGGGUGAAGGAACUAGGCAAAAUGGUGCCGUAACUUCGGGAGAAGGCACGCUGACACGUAGGUGAAGUGAUUUACUCAUGGAGCUGAAGUCAGUCGAAGAUACCAGCUGGCUGCAACUGUUUAUUAAAAACACAGCACUGUGCAAACACGAAAGUGGACGUAUACGGUGUGACGCCUGCCCGGUGCCGGAAGGUUAAUUGAUGGGGUCAGCGCAAGCGAAGCUCCUGAUCGAAGCCCCGGUAAACGGCGGCCGUAACUAUAACGGUCCUAAGGUAGCGAAAUUCCUUGUCGGGUAAGUUCCGACCUGCACGAAUGGCGUAAUGAUGGCCAGGCUGUCUCCACCCGAGACUCAGUGAAAUUGAACUCGCUGUGAAGAUGCAGUGUACCCGCGGCAAGACGGAAAGACCCCGUGAACCUUUACUAUAGCUUGACACUGAACAUUGAGCCUUGAUGUGUAGGAUAGGUGGGAGGCUUUGAAGUGUGGACGCCAGUCUGCAUGGAGCCGACCUUGAAAUACCACCCUUUAAUGUUUGAUGUUCUAACGUGGACCCGUAAUCCGGGUUGCGGACAGUGUCUGGUGGGUAGUUUGACUGGGGCGGUCUCCUCCUAAAGAGUAACGGAGGAGCACGAAGGUUGGCUAAUCCUGGUCGGACAUCAGGAGGUUAGUGCAAUGGCAUAAGCCAGCUUGACUGCGAGCGUGACGGCGCGAGCAGGUGCGAAAGCAGGUCAUAGUGAUCCGGUGGUUCUGAAUGGAAGGGCCAUCGCUCAACGGAUAAAAGGUACUCCGGGGAUAACAGGCUGAUACCGCCCAAGAGUUCAUAUCGACGGCGGUGUUUGGCACCUCGAUGUCGGCUCAUCACAUCCUGGGGCUGAAGUAGGUCCCAAGGGUAUGGCUGUUCGCCAUUUAAAGUGGUACGCGAGCUGGGUUUAGAACGUCGUGAGACAGUUCGGUCCCUAUCUGCCGUGGGCGCUGGAGAACUGAGGGGGGCUGCUCCUAGUACGAGAGGACCGGAGUGGACGCAUCACUGGUGUUCGGGUUGUCAUGCCAAUGGCACUGCCCGGUAGCUAAAUGCGGAAGAGAUAAGUGCUGAAAGCAUCUAAGCACGAAACUUGCCCCGAGAUGAGUUCUCCCUGAGACUUUAAGUCUCCUGAAGGAACGUUGAAGACGACGACGUUGAUAGGCCGGGUGUGUAAGCGCAGCGAUGCGUUGAGCUAACCGGUACUAAUGAACCGUGAGGCUUAACC